GACGAACGCUGGCGGCGUGCUUAACACAUGCAAGUCGAACGCUGAAGCUCAGCUUUUGUUGGGUGGAUGAGUGGCGAACGGGUGAGUAGCACGUGAGUAACCUGCCCCCUUCUUUGGGGUAACGCCCGGAAACGGGUGCUAAUACUGGAUAUUCACUGGUCUUCGCAUGGGGGUUGGUGGAAAGGGUUUUUCUGGUGGGGGAUGGGCUCGCGGCCUAUCAGCUUGUUGGUGGGGUGAUGGCCUACCAAGGCUUUGACGGGUAGCCGGCCUGAGAGGGUGACCGGUCACAUUGGGACUGAGAUACGGCCCAGACUCCUACGGGAGGCAGCAGUGGGGAAUAUUGCACAAUGGGCGCAAGCCUGAUGCAGCGACGCCGCGUGAGGGAUGGAGGCCUUCGGGUUGUGAACCUCUUUCGCUCAUGGUCAAGCCGCAACAAUGGUUGUGGUGAGGGUAGUGGGUAAAGAAGCGCCGGCUAACUACGUG
This 483-nucleotide ribosomal RNA is filed under the name uncultured bacterium. RNAcentral describes it as "partial 16S ribosomal RNA". It matches the Rfam family "Bacterial small subunit ribosomal RNA", at positions 28 to 507 of the family's 1533-position model. The record is from RNAcentral.